RNAcentral lists this microRNA precursor (78 nucleotides) under Schistosoma mansoni. Its description in RNAcentral is "mir-3492 microRNA precursor family". It matches the Rfam family "mir-3492 microRNA precursor family". Lineage: Eukaryota; Metazoa; Platyhelminthes; Trematoda; Strigeidida; Schistosomatidae. The record is from Rfam by way of RNAcentral.
AGCCUCCUUAAACAGUGCCAAGAUUUCAUCGGACACCAUUCUAUCAGGAUUGAUGAGACUCGCAUGAUAAAUGAAGCG